RNAcentral lists this ribosomal RNA (253 nucleotides) under uncultured bacterium. RNAcentral's name for it is "partial 16S ribosomal RNA". It matches the Rfam family "Bacterial small subunit ribosomal RNA", at positions 524 to 776 of the family's 1533-position model. The record is from RNAcentral.
UACAGAGGGUGCGAGCGUUGUCCGGAAUCACUGGGCGUAAAGGGCGCGUAGGCGGCUCGGUCAGCGUGCGGUGAAAGCCCGGGGCUCAACCCCGGGUCGGCCGUGCGAACUGCUGGGCUGGAGCACUGUAGAGGCAGGUGGAAUUCCGGGUGUAGCGGUGGAAUGCGUAGAGAUCCGGAAGAACACCGGCGGCGAAGGCGGCCUGCUGGGCAGUAGCUGACGCUGAUGCGCGACAGCGUGGGGAGCAAACAGG